GAUGAACGCUGGCGGCGUGCCUAAUACAUGCAAGUCGAGCGAACAGACGAGGAGCUUGCUCCUCUGACGUUAGCGGCGGACGGGUGAGUAACACGUGGAUAACCUACCUAUAAGACUGGGAUAACUUCGGGAAACCGGAGCUAAUACCGGAUAAUAUAUUGAACCGCAUGGUUCAAUAGUGAAAGACGGUUUUGCUGUCACUUAUAGAUGGAUCCGCGCCGCAUUAGCUAGUUGGUAAGGUAACGGCUUACCAAGGCAACGAUGCGUAGCCGACCUGAGAGGGGGAUCGGCCACACGGGAGGUGAGCGACGAUCCAGCCCCUGAGGGGAGGCAGCGGUAGGGAAGUUUCGGAAAUGGGGGAAAGCUUGCCGAAGCAACGCCGGGGGGUUGAUGAAGGUCUGCGGAUGGUAAAACUCUGUUAUUGGGGAAAAACAAAUUUGUAGUAACUAUGCACGUCUUGACGGUACCUAAUCAGAAAGCCACGGCUAACUACGUG
Molecule: ribosomal RNA, 496 nt
Filed under: uncultured bacterium
Lineage: Bacteria
Description: partial 16S ribosomal RNA
Rfam family: Bacterial small subunit ribosomal RNA
Source: RNAcentral